GGGGAGUGAAACAGUACCUGAAACGGAUUGCCUACAAGCAGUUGGAGGGUCCUUGAGGCCUGACAGCGUACCUCUUGCAUAAUGGGUCUGUGACUUAAUGUAUCAAGCAAGCUUAAGCCGAUAGGUGUAGGCGCAGCGAAAGCGAGUCUUAAAAGGGCGCAUGAGUCAGACGGAUCAGACCCGAAACCGAGUGAUCUAGGCAUGAGCAGGAUGAAGGUUGGGUAACACCAACUGGAGGUCCGAACCCACACCUGUUGAAAAAGGUCGGGAUGACUUGUGCCUAGGGGUGAAAGGCCAAUCAAACUCGGAGAUAGCUGGUUCUCCGCGAAAGCUAUUUAGGUAGCGCCUCGGACGUAUCCCUCGGGGGGUAGAGCACUGCAUGGAUGAUGGGGGCCCACAGCCUUACUGAGUCUAAGCAAACUCCGAAUACCCGAGAGGACUAUCCGGGAGACACACGGCGGGUGCUAACGUCCGUCGUGGAGAGGGAAACA
This 491-nucleotide ribosomal RNA is filed under the name uncultured Isochrysis. RNAcentral describes it as "partial Bacterial large subunit ribosomal RNA". It matches the Rfam family "Bacterial large subunit ribosomal RNA", at positions 533 to 1024 of the family's 2925-position model. The record is from RNAcentral. Lineage: Eukaryota; Haptophyta; Isochrysidales.